This 206-nucleotide ribosomal RNA is filed under the name uncultured bacterium. RNAcentral describes it as "partial 16S ribosomal RNA". It matches the Rfam family "Bacterial small subunit ribosomal RNA", at positions 1287 to 1500 of the family's 1533-position model. The record is from RNAcentral.
CUCAGUUCGGAUUGGAGUCUGNAACCCGACUCCAUGAAGCUGGAUUCGCUAGUAAUCGCGCAUCAGCCACGGCGCGGUGAAUACGUUCCCGGGCCUUGUACACACCGCCCGUCAAGCCAUGGGAGCCGGGGGUACCUGAAGUGCGUGACCGCAAGGAGCGCCCUAAGGUAAAACCGGUGACUGGGGCUAAGUCGUAACAAGGUAAC